This 560-nucleotide ribosomal RNA is filed under the name uncultured bacterium. Its description in RNAcentral is "bacterial SSU rRNA". It matches the Rfam family "Bacterial small subunit ribosomal RNA", at positions 338 to 916 of the family's 1533-position model. The record is from RNAcentral.
CCUACGGGAGGCAGCAGUGGGGAAUCUUGCGCAAUGGGCGAAAGCCUGACGCAGCCAUGCCGCGUGAAUGAUGAAGGUCUUAGGAUUGUAAAAUUCUUUUAGUAGGGACGAUAAUGACGGUACCUACAGAAGAAGCCCCGGCUAACUUCGUGCCAGCAGCCGCGGUAAUACGAAGGGGGCUAGCGUUGCUCGGAAUUACUGGGCGUAAAGGGAGCGUAGGCGGGUUAUCAAGUUGGAGGUGAAAGCCCAGGGCUCAACCUUGGAAUUGCCUUCAAAACUGAUAGCCUAGAGUAUGAUAGAGGUAUGUGGAACUCCGAGUGUAGAGGUGAAAUUCGUAGAUAUUCGGAAGAACACCAGUGGCGAAGGCGACAUACUGGGUCAUGACUGACGCUGAGGCUCGAAAGCGUGGGGAGCAAACAGGAUUAGAUACCCUGGUAGUCCACGCUGUAAACGAUGAUUGCUAGUUGUCGGACGGCAUGCCGUUCGGUGACGCAGCUAACGCAUUAAGCAAUCCGCCUGGGGAGUACGGUCGCAAGAUUAAAGCUCAAAUGAAUUGACGG